CUGUUUAUCAAAAACAUCGCCUCUAGCUCAACCAUACAUGAGGUCCAACCUGCCCAGUGACUAUAUGUUCAACGGCCGCGGUAUUCUGACCGUGCAAAGGUAGCGUAAUCACUUGUCUUUUAAAUGAAGACUAGUAUGAACGGUUAAACGAGGGCUAAGCUGUCUCUCUUUUCAAGUCAAUGAAAUUGAUCUGCCCGUGCAGAAGCGGACAUAAAAAUACAAGACGAGAAGACCCUUUGGAGCUUAAGAUACAAGACUCAAUCAUGUCAAGCAAGACCAAAAAAUAAACGAACCUAGUGAGAAAUGAGCCUAUAUCUUCGGUUGGGGCGACCACGGAGGAAAAAUAAGCCUCCAAGUGGACUAGGCAUUAGCCUAAAAUUAAGAAAGACAUUUCUAGAUAACAGAACAUCUGACCACUAAUGAUCCGGUCACAAGACCGAGCAACGAACCAAGUUACCCUAGGGAUAACAGCGCAAUCCUCUUUUAGAGCCCAUAUCGACGAGAGGGUUUACGACCUCGAUGUUGGAUCAGGACAUCCUAAUGGUGCAGCCACUAUUAAGGGUUCGUUUGUUCAACGAUUAAAGUCCUACGUGAUCUGAGUUCARA
RNAcentral lists this ribosomal RNA (606 nucleotides) under Esomus danrica (flying barb). Its description in RNAcentral is "partial 16S ribosomal RNA". It matches the Rfam family "Bacterial large subunit ribosomal RNA", at positions 1800 to 2615 of the family's 2925-position model. Lineage: Eukaryota; Metazoa; Chordata; Actinopteri; Cypriniformes; Danionidae. The record is from RNAcentral.